AACAUGACUCUCGGCAACGGAUAUCUCGGCUCUCGCAUCGAUGAAGAACGUAGCAAAAUGCGAUACCUGGUGUGAAUUGCAGAAUCCCGUGAACCAUCGAGUUUUUGAACGCAAGUUGCGCCCGAGGCCUUUUGGUCAAGGGCACGUCUGCCUGGGCGUCACGC
This 164-nucleotide ribosomal RNA is filed under the name Gymnopogon ambiguus. RNAcentral describes it as "5.8S ribosomal RNA". It matches the Rfam family "5.8S ribosomal RNA". Rfam says of the family: 5.8S ribosomal RNA (5.8S rRNA) is a component of the large subunit of the eukaryotic ribosome. It is transcribed by RNA polymerase I as part of the 45S precursor that also contains 18S and 28S rRNA. Lineage: Eukaryota; Viridiplantae; Streptophyta; Magnoliopsida; Poales; Poaceae. The record is from RNAcentral.